Molecule: unclassified non-coding RNA, 1809 nt
Filed under: Hevea brasiliensis (rubber tree)
Lineage: Eukaryota; Viridiplantae; Streptophyta; Magnoliopsida; Malpighiales; Euphorbiaceae
Source: RNAcentral
UGAACUGAAACCAGCUUGAACCGGCUAAAUCAGGAAUGAUUCCGGUUCAAAGCGGUGAAGAUCAAACCCUCUAACCUCAUAUUAUGAGACUACAAUGGCUUAAUAACAAUAUAUUGAGAUCCAGAAUUCAAAAAACUACCUGAGGAUCUUUUGCCUGCAGGACCUUUUCAUACAAAUUGCAGCGCCAGAAUUGAUCUGCAUAAUCUACGGGGCGAUGCAUUCUUAAUUUAAAGGAAAUGGAUAUUCUACAACAACAUUGAGACAGCAUACAUAUGUUUUAGUCUACACUAGAACCUAUGUUAGUCCAACUCUUCGCUUCCGUUAUUCAGCAAUUUCUCAGGACCUCCACAGUCAGUAGGGAUAAAGAAUGCCGAUGCAGUUAUCUUGCAGUUGGAAAAUCCCCAGGGCACCAGCUGGGUCGCUCUCAUUUUAAAAUGGAUGACUAGACCAAUUGCUGUAGCUGAUGGACAACAUGAGACAUUCGCGGACGCAUAGAUGGGACAUGCUGUGUGCAAGCAUACACAAGGUCCACCACCUUCUGAAUGACACCAGCUUCUGGAAUUUCUGAAGAAGAUGAAGAUAUGAGCGGAUCCAAAAGCUCAGGGUAGCGGUGUGCCUGGACCAAAGGUGUUGCCCACUCAAAUAUACUUUGCCAACCCACUGAAUCGACUGCUUGUGCAGGCCUACGUCCGGUGACUAUUUCUAACAGCAGAACUCCAAAGCUGUAGACAUCACUUUUUGUUGUAAGCUCAUUUCUGUAAACAAACUCUGGUGCAAGGUACCCAUAUGUACCACCUGCCAUCACCGUUCUCUCGUGCAUCACUUCCCAAGGCACAAACUUAGAGAGACCAACUCCCAUCAAGUGUGCUCCAAACUCUUCAUCAAGCAGUACAUUACUGGCACGAAUAUCCCGAUGCACAACAUGUGGCUUAACCUUGUCAUGCAAGAACGCAAUCCCUUGAGCAAGGGUAGUAGCUAUUUUCAUUCUCAUAGCCCAAUCCAAGCUUUUCCCUCCCCUCGGUAUGUGGUGUAGCCAUCUAUCUAAGGGCCCAUUAACUAUAAACUCAUAAACAAUGUAGCGGUCACCAUGAUCAUAGCAACAUCCUUUAAUAGCCACCAAAUUUGGAUGCUGAAGCCUUGCAACCCUUCCAACCUCAGAAUAGAACUCCUUCUUCCUCUGGAAACUGGAUCUCUUCAAUCUCUUAACUGCAACUCUUGAUCCAUCUGGGAGAAGGCCACUAUAUGUGCCACCUGUUUUUGCAUCACCGAGAAGACGAUUCCCUUCACUAAAAUUCUUUGUAAUUGACCUCAUUUCCUCAUUCGUGAAGACUUUCCAUGAUAGCGGAACUAAUGCCGAAGCAGCUGGAUUAGAUAAUUUGCGGGACUUUCUACGCUUCCUGCUUCGUCUGUAAACAAGAAGCCAAAUCACCACAGCUAAUGUUGUACAGAGAAUCAACCCACUUACAACUGCAAGGAUAAUAAGAUACUCCCUAUGACAACGCAUGUGGUAGCAUUUGUUUUCUUUAUUGCUUUCAUUCUUGGAAGCUACCAGUGGAGCAUGAACCGCGUCAUUAGAUAUUGUUUCAGAAGCAGCAAACCGGAGUGCAAAACAGGCAAUCAGAAGCACAGAAAAUUGCAGGAGGGUCAGUUCCAACUCCAUCACAAUUAUUUCCCAAAACCUGUGAAAUGGGUCAGUCGAAAUUGUACAUAGCAGCUCUUCGAGGAUUCAAUUUGUGAGAAAGAAACCAGAAGAAGGUCCAGCUCUUGGAAACUUUCAUCAGUCAAUAGCAAGGACUUAAUGGAGGUGGG